AACGAACGCUGGCAGCAUGCCUAACACAUGCAAGUCGAACGAGACCUUCGGGACUAGUGGCGCACGGGUGCGUAACGCGUGGGAACCUGCCCUUAGGGUCGGAAUAACUCUCCGAAAGGGGUGCUAAUACCGGAUAAUGUCUACGGACCCAAGAUUUAUCGCCUUUGGAUGGACACGAGUUGGAUUAGCUAGUUGGUAGGGUAAAAGCCUACCAAGGCGACGAUCCAUAGAUUGUCUGAGAGGAUGAUCAGCCACACUGGGACUGAGACACGGCCCAGACUCCUCCGCGAUGCAGCAGUGCCGAAUAUUGGACCAUCGGCUAAAUCCUGAUCCAGCUCUGCCGCGUGAGUGAUGAAGUCCGUAAGGUUGUAAAGCUCUUUUACCCGGGAUGAUAAUGACAGUACCGAGAGAGUAAGCCCCGGCUAACUCCGUG
Molecule: ribosomal RNA, 433 nt
Filed under: uncultured bacterium
Lineage: Bacteria
Description: partial 16S ribosomal RNA
Rfam family: Bacterial small subunit ribosomal RNA
Source: RNAcentral